CACCGGCGGCCCGAGUGGUGAUCGUGAUUAUUGGGUCUAAAGGGUCCGUAGCCGGUUUGGUCAGUCCUCCGGGAAAUCUGAUAGCUCAACUAUUAGGCUUUCGGGGGAUACUGCCAGACUUGGAACCGGGAGAGGUAAGAGGUACUACAGGGGUAGGAGUGAAAUCUUGUAAUCCCUGUGGGACCACCUGUGGCGAAGGCGUCUUACCAGAACGGGUUCGACGGUGAGGGACGAAAGCUGGGGGCACGAACCGGAUUAGAUACCCGGGUAGUCCCAGCCGUAAACGAUGCUCGCUAGGUGUCAGGCAUGGCGCGACCGUGUCUGGUGCCGCAGGGAAGCCGUGAAGCGAGCCACCUGGGAAGUACGGCCGCAAGGCUGAAACUUAAAGGAAUUGGCGGGGAGCACAACAACGGGUGGAGCCUGCGGUUU
RNAcentral lists this ribosomal RNA (429 nucleotides) under uncultured archaeon. RNAcentral describes it as "bacterial SSU rRNA". It matches the Rfam family "Archaeal small subunit ribosomal RNA", at positions 474 to 903 of the family's 1478-position model. The record is from RNAcentral.